This 805-nucleotide ribosomal RNA is filed under the name Paraisaria arcta. RNAcentral describes it as "Paraisaria sp. DPW-2020b partial large subunit ribosomal RNA". It matches the Rfam family "Eukaryotic large subunit ribosomal RNA", at positions 112 to 940 of the family's 3401-position model. The record is from RNAcentral. Lineage: Eukaryota; Fungi; Ascomycota; Sordariomycetes; Hypocreales; Ophiocordycipitaceae.
GAUUUGAAAUCCGGCCCCCGCGCGGGGGCCCGAGUUGUAAUCUGCAGAGGACGCUUUCGGCGCGGCGCCUUCCGAGUUCCCUGGAACGGGACGCCACAGAGGGUGAGAGCCCCGUCCGGUCGGACGCCAAGCCACUGUAAAGCUCCUUCGACGAGUCGAGUAGUUUGGGAAUGCUGCUCAAAACGGGAGGUAUAUGUCUUCUAAAGCUAAAUACCGGCCAGAGACCGAUAGCGCACAAGUAGAGUGAUCGAAAGAUGAAAAGCACUUUGAAAAGAGGGUUAAACAGUACGUGAAAUUGUUGAAAGGGAAGCGCUCGCGACCAGACGCGGGCCCAGCGGUCGGCGUCGGCGUUCUCGCCGGCGCGCUCCGCGGGCCCGGGCCAGCAUCAGCCCGCCGCGGGGGAGAAAGGCGCCGGGAACGUGGCUCCCCACGGGGAGUGUUAUAGCCCGGCGCGCCAUGCCCUGCGCGCGGGCUGAGGCACGCGCUCCGCAAGGAUGCUGGCGUAAUGGUCACCAGCGACCCGUCUUGAAACACGGACCAAGGAGUCGUCCUCGUAUGCGAGUGUUCGGGUGUCAAGCCCCUACGCGCAAUGAAAGUGAACGCAGGUGAGAGCCUCGGCGCAUCAUCGACCGAUCCCGAUGUUCUCGGACGGAUUUGAGUAGGAGCAUACGGGGCCGGACCCGAAAGAAGGUGAACUAUGCCUGCGUAGGGUGAAGCCAGAGGAAACUCUGGUGGAGGCUCGCAGCGGUUCUGACGUGCAAAUCGAUCGUCAAACGUGGGCAUGGGGGCGAAAGACUAAUCGAAC